RNAcentral lists this ribosomal RNA (1005 nucleotides) under Triticum aestivum (bread wheat). Its description in RNAcentral is "partial small subunit ribosomal RNA". The record is from RNAcentral. Lineage: Eukaryota; Viridiplantae; Streptophyta; Magnoliopsida; Poales; Poaceae.
UAUCCAUUCGCCCCCACCAAGAUGCAUCUGCAUCCAUCUCUCCUAUUCUCUCGCUCCAUCUCUCAUCUUCUCAAAUCUCUCUGUGGGCGGAGCGAAGUGAGAGCCAAGCCAGCCGAGCCGACCCCUCUCCUCUUCCCCUUCCUCGCAGCGGUUCGCGAUUUGCCCCUUCUCGCUCCAUCUCUCUUUCUCAUCCCGUGCUUCCACCGAUAUGCGCAGCCAACGGGAUUUAGCGCUAUGAGACAACUGCUCGGCGAAGUUCGUUCCCAUGUUGCCGGCGUGUUUAAUCGGGUGACUGCAUGCAGGGCCGGAUGUGAAGCCUCCAAAAUCGUUGGUGCCCCCCGUUCCACCUGAGCGGAUGUGAAGCCAAGUCGCUGGCACCCCGUUCUAGAACACCAGAUCCGGAGUGCCGCCGCCGGUUCCUGUCCCCAUCACGCCCGCGUCAACGACCGCCAAGUUGCUGGCACCCCGUUCCAGACCACCAAAUCUGGAGCGCCGCCGCCGGAUCUCGUCCCCAUCACACCUGCGUCAACGACCGCCGCGGAACCCUCCUCGGCUCCUCCUCCUCAAUGAUUCACGGCAAGAACCGGGACAGCGCCGUGCCCUUCCCCGUCUCCAACACUACAGUGCUCGCGUCGUCGGUGCUGUCGUAUUUCAUUAUCAUUCGAAUAUGUGUGGAUUUGACCCCUUCGUUGCCUUCCCAUCAUGUUGUGUUCAUUCUUUUCUGAAUCUGAUUCUCAUACCUGGUGCGAAUCUUCUAUAAAUCGUUGUCAGAAUUUGUUCCUUUGAUCCCGGUUAUAAUUCGUUGAAUCGCCCUCGCGGAUCCCGUUUGGGUGAGGAUUAUUGUAUGGUUUUUUUACUACACUACAUAUGUUGGUAAAGCAUUUACCUAAGUUAUGGAAAAUUCAUAAUUCAUCAGUUAUUUUAGAUAAUACUAAAAAACAAGAUAGAGUAAGAUACAGAAGUGUAAAAGAAAGUGGAUUCAUCAGAUGAUACAUGAGUCCCUAA